Molecule: ribosomal RNA, 614 nt
Filed under: uncultured bacterium
Lineage: Bacteria
Description: bacterial SSU rRNA
Rfam family: Bacterial small subunit ribosomal RNA
Source: RNAcentral
AGAGUUUGAUCCUGGCUCAGGAUGAACGCUAGCGGCAGGCCUAAUACAUGCAAGUCGAGCGGCAAGUUGAGUAGUAAUACUUGACCUAGAGCGGCGCACGGGUGCGUAACGCGUAUGCAACCUACCUUUUACUGGGGGAUAGCCCGGAGAAAUCUGGAUUAAUACCCCAUGGUACCUAGAGGUCGAAUGACUUUUAGUUUAAAGAUUUAUCGGUAAGAGAUGGGCAUGCGUCUGAUUAGCUAGUUGGGGGGGUAACGGCCCACCAAGGCGACGAUCAGUAGGGGUUCUGAGAGGAAGGUCCCCCACACUGGCACUGAGAUACGGGCCAGACUCCUACGGGAGGCAGCAGUAGGGAAUAUUGGGCAAUGGUCGCAAGACUGACCCAGCCAUGCCGCGUGCAGGAAGACGGCCCUCUGGGUUGUAAACUGCUUUUAUCUGGGAAGAAAAAGUCCAUGCGUGGAAAAUUGCCGGUACCAGAUGAAUAAGCACCGGCUAACUCCGUGCCAGCAGCCGCGGUAAUACGGAGGGUGCAAGCGUUGUCCGGAUUUAUUGGGUUUAAAGGGUGCGUAGGCGGCUUAUUAAGUCAGUGGUGAAAGACGGUAGCUUAACUAUCG